CUAUGGUGAAGGCGCGGCAAACGGCUCAGUAACACGUGGCUAACCUACCCUUGGGACGGAGACACUCCCGGGAAACUGGGGCUAAUCCCCGAUAGGUAAGGACUCCUGGAAUGGAUCCUUGCUGAAAAGACGUUGAGUCCAUGCUAUUCAGCGUCGCCUAAGGAUGGGGCCGCGGCCGAUCAGGUUGUUGGCGAGGCAACGGCUCACCAAGCCUAUAACCGGUACGGGCCGUGAGAGCGGAAGCCCGGAGAUGGGAACUGAGACAAGGUCCCAGGCCCUACGGGGCGCAGCAGUUGCGAAAACUCCGCAAUGCACGAAAGUGUGACGGGGCUACCCCGAGUGCCGUCCGCUGAGGACGGCUUUUCCCCGGUGUAACUAGCCGGGGGAAUAAGGAGAGGGCAAGACUGGUGUCAGCCGCCGCGGUAAUACCAGCUCUCCGAGUUGUAGGGAUGAUUAUUGGGCUUAAAGCGUCCGUAGCCGGCUUAGCAAGUCUCCNUGUUNAUUCAGCGACCCAAUCGUUGAGCCGCG
RNAcentral lists this ribosomal RNA (528 nucleotides) under uncultured archaeon. Its description in RNAcentral is "bacterial SSU rRNA". It matches the Rfam family "Archaeal small subunit ribosomal RNA", at positions 65 to 575 of the family's 1478-position model. The record is from RNAcentral.